RNAcentral lists this ribosomal RNA (439 nucleotides) under uncultured bacterium. RNAcentral describes it as "bacterial SSU rRNA". It matches the Rfam family "Bacterial small subunit ribosomal RNA", at positions 30 to 463 of the family's 1533-position model. The record is from RNAcentral.
AUUGAACGCUGGCGGCAUGCCUUACACAUGCAAGUCGAACGGUAACAGGGAGCUUGCUCCGCUGACGAGUGGCGAACGGGUGAGUAAUAUAUCGGAACGUGCCCUAGAGUGGGGGAUAACUAGUCGAAAGAUUAGCUAAUACCGCAUACGAUCUAAGGAUGAAAGUGGGGGAUCGCAAGACCUCAUGCUCGUGGAGCGGCCGAUAUCUGAUUAGCUAGUUGGUAGGGUAAAAGCCUACCAAGGCAUCGAUCAGUAGCUGGUCUGAGAGGACGACCAGCCACACUGGGACUGAGACACGGCCCAGACUCCUACGGGAGGCAGCAGUGGGAAUUUUGGACAAUGGGCGCAAGCCUGAUCCAGCAAUGCCGCGUGAGUGAAGAAGGCCUUCGGGUUGUAAAGACGUCUUUGUCUAGGGAAGGAAACGGGUUAGAGGCUAAUA